UACGUAGGGGGCAAGCGUUGUCCGGAAUUAUUGGGCGUAAAGCGCGCGCAGGCGGUUCUUUAAGUCUGGUGUUUAAACCCGAGGCUCAACUUCGGGUCGCACUGGAAACUGGGGGACUUGAGUGCAGAAGAGGAGAGUGGAAUUCCACGUGUAGCGGUGAAAUGCGUAGAUAUCGUCUGGAACGCCGAAGGUGAAAACAGCUCGCUGGGGCUGCGCUGACGCUGAGACACGAAAGCCAGGGGAGCGAACGGG
RNAcentral lists this ribosomal RNA (252 nucleotides) under uncultured bacterium. RNAcentral's name for it is "partial 16S ribosomal RNA". It matches the Rfam family "Bacterial small subunit ribosomal RNA", at positions 524 to 776 of the family's 1533-position model. The record is from RNAcentral.